Molecule: transfer RNA, 68 nt
Filed under: Cyrtorhinus sp.
Lineage: Eukaryota; Metazoa; Arthropoda; Insecta; Hemiptera; Miridae
Description: tRNA-Ser
Rfam family: tRNA
About the family: Transfer RNA (tRNA) molecules are approximately 80 nucleotides in length. Their secondary structure includes four short double-helical elements and three loops (D, anti-codon, and T loops). Further hydrogen bonds mediate the characteristic L-shaped molecular structure. tRNAs have two regions of fundamental functional importance: the anti-codon, which is responsible for specific mRNA codon recognition, and the 3' end, to which the tRNAs corresponding amino acid is attached (by aminoacyl-tRNA synthetases). tRNAs cope with the degeneracy of the genetic code in two manners: having more than one tRNA (with a specific anti-codon) for a particular amino acid; and 'wobble' base-pairing, i.e. permitting non-standard base-pairing at the 3rd anti-codon position.
Source: RNAcentral
AGUUGAUAAGCUUUAGAAAGCCUAUAUUUUGAAAAUAUAAGAAAAAGGUUUAAUUCCUUUAUUAACUU